This 352-nucleotide long non-coding RNA is filed under the name Corvus moneduloides (New Caledonian crow). RNAcentral describes it as "lncRNA (ENSCMUG00000017611.1)". The record is from RNAcentral. Lineage: Eukaryota; Metazoa; Chordata; Aves; Passeriformes; Corvidae.
CUUAAUGCCUGUGGAACUUUUUAUUGAAUUCUUUUCAUGGCCAUCAACUUUGGUGCGGGAAAUGAUUCCAAGAGACAAAGACUCAGUUGUGUGUGCGCACGUGCGUGUGUGGCUGGGAGAGUGGAAGAAUAAAAAAUCCAUUUCCAGAUGGUUGAAAGGAUGCAUAGCACUUUGCUAUUGGCAAAAACAACCUCUUUCAUUUUCAGGAUGUCCUCACAGGAAAUUCAGUCCCUGGCAAGCUUCAGCUCCAGACAGGAAACAUUCUGAGGAAUUUCUUCCAUACAGGUACUAUAUUUGCUUGGAGGGUUAACAUGUUGGAGAUAUUUACCAUGGCUGGAUUUAACUAGCAGGA